This 253-nucleotide ribosomal RNA is filed under the name uncultured bacterium. RNAcentral describes it as "partial 16S ribosomal RNA". It matches the Rfam family "Bacterial small subunit ribosomal RNA", at positions 524 to 776 of the family's 1533-position model. The record is from RNAcentral.
UACGAAGGGUGCAAGCGUUACUCGGAAUUACUGGGCGUAAAGGGUGCGUAGGCGGUGAGUUAAGUCUGUGGUGAAAGCCCCGGGCUCAACCUGGGAAUGGCGAUGGAUACUGGCUCGCUAGAGUGCGGUAGAGGGUGGUGGAAUUCCCGGUGUAGCAGUGAAAUGCGUAGAGAUCGGGAGGAACAUCAGUUGCGAAGGCGGCCACCUGGACCAGCACUGACACUGAGGCACGAAAGCGUGGGGAGCAAACAGG